UACGUAGGUGGCAAGCGUUAUCCGGAAUUACUGGGCGUAAAGCGCACGCAGGCGGCUCUUUAAGUUUGACGUGAAAGCUCCUGGCUUAACUGGGAGAGGUCGUUGAAGACUGGAGAGCUUGAGGCAAUGAGAGGGGUGUAGAAUUCCCGGUGUAGUGGUGGAAUGCGUAGAUAUCGGGAGGAAUACCAGUGGCGAAAGCGGCACCCUGGCAUUGGCCUGACGCUCAUGUGCGAAAGCGUGGGGAGCG
This 247-nucleotide ribosomal RNA is filed under the name uncultured bacterium. RNAcentral describes it as "partial 16S ribosomal RNA". It matches the Rfam family "Bacterial small subunit ribosomal RNA", at positions 524 to 770 of the family's 1533-position model. The record is from RNAcentral.